AGGACGAACGCUGGCGGCGUGCUUAACACAUGCAAGUCGAGCGGAAAGGCCCUUCGGGGUACUCGAGCGGCGAACGGGUGAGUAACACGUGAGUAAUCUGCCCUUAGCUCUGGGAUAGCUCCGGGAAACCGGGAUUAAUACCAGAUACGACCACUUUAGACAUCUGCCGUGGUGGAAAGAAUUUCGGCUAAGGACGAGCUCGCGGCCUAUCAGCUUGUUGGUGGGGUAACGGCCUACCAAGGCGACGACGGGUA
Molecule: ribosomal RNA, 254 nt
Filed under: uncultured bacterium
Lineage: Bacteria
Description: partial small subunit ribosomal RNA
Rfam family: Bacterial small subunit ribosomal RNA
Source: RNAcentral